Molecule: ribosomal RNA, 253 nt
Filed under: uncultured bacterium
Lineage: Bacteria
Description: partial 16S ribosomal RNA
Rfam family: Bacterial small subunit ribosomal RNA
Source: RNAcentral
UACGUAGGGGGCAAGCGUUGUCCGGAGUCAUUGGGCGUAAAGAGCGUGUAGGCGGCCUGGUAAGUCCGCUGUGAAAGUCCAGGGCUCAACCCUGGAAUGCCGGUGGAAACUGUCAGGCUCGAGUCCGGAAGAGGCGAGUGGAAUUCCUGGUGUAGCGGUGAAAUGCGCAGAUAUCAGGAAGAACACCCGUGGCUAAGGCGGCUCUCUAGUACGUGACUGACGCUGAGACGCGAAAGCGUGGGGAGCGAACAGG